UGGGGAAUAUUGCACAAUGGGGGAAACCCUGAUGCAGCGACGCCGCGUGAGCGAAGAAGGCGUUCGAGUAGAAAAGCUCUGUCCUAUGAGAAGAUAACGACGGUAUCAUAGGAGGAAGCCCCGGCGAAAUACGUGCCAGCAGCCGCGGUAAGACGUAUGGGGCGAGCGUUGUCCGGAAUUAUUGGGCGUAAAGGGUACGUAGGCGGUCUAUUAAGUCAGGUGUGAAAGCGUGAGGCUUAACCUCAUUAAGCACUUGAAACUGAUAGACUUGAGUGAAGGAGAGGAAAGUGGAAUUCCUAGUGUAGCGGUGAAAUGCGUAGAUAUUAGGAGGAAUACCGGUGGCGAAGGCGACUUUCUGGACUUUUACUGACGCUCAGGUACGAAAGCGUGGGGAGCAAACAGG
Molecule: ribosomal RNA, 403 nt
Filed under: Verrucomicrobiota bacterium
Lineage: Bacteria; Pseudomonadati; Verrucomicrobiota
Description: Verrucomicrobia bacterium partial 16S ribosomal RNA
Rfam family: Bacterial small subunit ribosomal RNA
Source: RNAcentral